CAGCCGCCGCGGUAAAACAGAGGGUGCGAGCGUUAAUCGGAUUUACUGGGCGUAAAGCGUGCGUAGGCGGCUUCUUAAGUCGGAUGUGAAAUCCCUGAGCUUAACUUAGGAAUUGCAUUCGAUACUGUGAAGCUAGAGUAUGGGAGAGGAUGGUAGAAUUCCAGGUGUAGCGGUGAAAUGCGUAGAGAUCUGGAGGAAUACCGAUGGCGAAGGCAGCCAUCUGGCCUAAUACUGACGCUGAGGUACGAAAGCAUGGGGAGCAAACAGGAUUAGAUACCCCUGUAGUCCCUGUCUCUUAUAC
RNAcentral lists this ribosomal RNA (301 nucleotides) under uncultured bacterium. Its description in RNAcentral is "partial 16S ribosomal RNA". It matches the Rfam family "Bacterial small subunit ribosomal RNA", at positions 509 to 807 of the family's 1533-position model. The record is from RNAcentral.